Molecule: unclassified non-coding RNA, 4047 nt
Filed under: Nilaparvata lugens (brown planthopper)
Lineage: Eukaryota; Metazoa; Arthropoda; Insecta; Hemiptera; Delphacidae
Description: dopamine N-acetyltransferase, transcript variant X6
Source: RNAcentral
CUUCAGUUAGUAAACCGCUUCGUUUAGUUCCACACUCACCUUCAACUACUAAUCGUGCAAAUCGUGUUGUCGUGCUCGUGUUACGUGUGUUCUGUACGUGAUUUUGAUCGAUUUAUUAUCGAUAAUUUGCUAUCGAUUAAUCAAUUAUCGACAUAAUGGAGACGAGCGUGAUUGCCAGACAAGCGUACCAUGAAUCAACAGCCCCUGUUCGGGGAGCCGGGCCGGCCGCCAACGAGAUGAGGGUGGUGCAGACCCAAGGUCAGAAGUUGCAGGACAAGGUCAACGUGUUGGGUCAAGGUCAAGUGGAGACUCAAGGUCACCGCAUUGUCAAGAUCAGCAACAAGGACGGUGAGAGGGUUCUGCAGUUCUUGCGGAAAUUCUUCUUCAUGGACGAGCCUCUGAAUAUCGCCGUCGGUCUCCUCGAUGAACCGGGAUCAACUUGUUCAGAGCUUGAACAGUACUGUAUUGACUCUAUUCCUGAUGGAGUCUCGUUCAUGGCGGUGAACUCCCGCGGAGAGGUGAUCGGCAUCUGCCUGAACGGCGUGGAUGUGCGAGGCAAGAGUGAGGACGAGGACAGCAAGAACUUCGAGUGCACCAACCCCCGCUUCGGCAAGAUCCUCGGUCUCUUGCAGGACGUCGGCAAGCAGUCGGAUGUCUUCGGCCAGUUCCCCGAUGUUGACCGAAUGCUGGAAGUGCGCAUUAUCUCGGUGGAUGAUGCUUACAGAGGGCAGGGCAUUGCUAAGGCUCUCAUCGAGAAAACCAGACUGGAAGGCGAGAAAAUGGGGAUUCCUCUGAUGCGGGUGGACUGCACCAGCGCUUUCUCAGCGAAAGCAGUCGCGCGACUCGGCUUCCAUUGUGUCUACACACUCCAGUACGCCGACUACCUUGACAAGCAAGGUCAGCGUGUGUUCGACCCACCCUCUCCACACACCUGCUGCAAGACCUUCGUUCGUCAUCUCAACUAGGACAAACCAGCCUGCAACACAAUGACAGUUUCAAGUUUGGGACGAAUACUAUUUGUGGCUAGUUUUCUGCGUAAAUCUGAGAAAAAUUGUCAAGGUUUGAAUUCUCUGACUGCCCAAAUUGUUCUGCUCACAUCGUUAUCUUAACAGAAGCAAGCAAAUUUACAAUGGAAGAGUAGGCCAAUUAAUCCGAUUUGUGGCUGGUUUUGUGUGUAUAGAUGUGAAACUAACCAACAAAAUCAGAUUAUCACUGAUUCCCCAAAUUGAACUAAAACAAACAAAUUUGUAAGACUAUAGCCAUUUUCAUAUGUGGUAGGCUUUGUGUACAAAUCUGGAAAUACUAUCCACCAAAAUAUGAGUAUUAGAUAGUAUGUUUACGUGCCAAAUUGUAUUGUUACAAUCAAACUUCAACUGGCCUGAGUGAAAUCGUUAAAUAUGUUGACUAUAUUUCAAUAUUGUGUUGUGAAACUAUCAUAGUUUUUGUUGACAGAAAUUCUUAUUAAAGUAUAAAUUGAGUGUUACAUAAAUUUCGUUACAUAUUUAAUAGGAAAAAUUGUUAUUUUUAUUCUUAAGGUCAAGAAUGAGAAACUUGUCAUGAUCUAUAAGUAUAGCCAGAGACUUGGAUUUUAGUGUAGACUUACAUAAAUAGAAAACACUUAAAAUUUGUUGUGUUCAUCAAGAAUCAGUAUAUCAUAAGUUUGAAAUUAUAAUUGAUGAUCUGAUUAUGGAGUUUAUAAUCGUUAUGAUAAUACAAAGAAUUAUUGCACUAUAACAAUAACAAAAAAUCUAACAGUAAUAGAGACCCUUAUGAACAUUUUAUACCGUAUCUAAUAAAAUAAAUAAAGAUACAUCUGACUUAUAAGUGGCUUCAACGGAAUCAAUACGGGAAUAUUGAAAUUUAUUAUAAUGGAAUAUUGAAAGGUGGGGUGAUGUAUAAUUUUCAUUAAAAAAAUUAAUAAAUUCCCUUCUAUGAGAGAUUUGAGAGUUUUCAAAAGUCUAUAGGCCAAUUCAUUGAUAUUGCUCUUGUACAACCUAGGUAGUCUGUUAAUACAUUGGGUGGGUUUUAUCAUUCAUCAUAACAUUCAAUGAGGAAACGCUGUAUCUUUACAAUAGAAUAUUCAUAUGAGAUGCAUCAGAAUACUCACUUGACUCAAUCAUUUUCCAAGUUGUCGUAAAAGCAAUCUUAGUUUGUUGCUCUAGGAUUUAUCAAGUAGGCUACCUGAUAAGAUGGAUGUUGUUUCUACACUUUCACAGCUCUAUGGAGGAAAAUCUUAUUUUAUAAGUAUUAAAAACUGUAAAGUUAAAAUCAUAUCUUUUGAAUUCAUAACGGGUAUAGAGGGACUUUAUGCCUGUAUUUGAAGUUCUACUAUCCUAUGCCUUUUUCCAUAAGAAGUCUCUCAUUGUUUUGAGAUAGCCACAUUCUCAUCAUCUUUUUGUCAUGUGAUAUAAUGAUAAACUGUUGAAACAUUAAGUUUGAAGCUUGUAUAGCUUUAUAGGAGUUAGAGUAUUUAGACUAAAAAUAUUUUAGAGCAGGUUCCAUCUUAAUUUCUCUUUGUCAUCUUAUUUUUGAUCUUAGCCUCUACUGAUACAGGUUGAAAAUAAUCUCAAGUAUUCCCACCGAUCUUUGAUAGCAAAAUCUUGAAGCUUGUUUGUUCUGAUUAUGACUUCUCUUCCACAGCUUCUAGAAUUAUUUUCCCAAGUUCAUAGAUCGGCUAAUCAUGAGAUCAAUUUUAUAGCUUUGAUAUUUGAUUGUGAAUGCAUGUCAAUUAUUGUAUGUUGAGUAUUGAAAAUUUAUCAUGGGACCUGUUAUUCACUUUUCUAAACUUUAUAAUAAUGAUAAUUGAUACAUUCGAAUUAAACUUAUACUAACUACUUCUAUGUUACAAAUAAUUAUGUUUGCCAGAUAGUUUUUAUACAAAAUCAUUGCUUAGUAAUAAGAGAAACAUAAUAUAAUGUAAGCUUCGAUGAAUAAUAUUUGGGAAUACAAUUGCUUUUCUAUUGAUUCCAUUUUUUCAGACUAAUCUAUUGUUGUAUUGAUUGUAGAAACUUCUAAAAUAGUUGAUCAAGAAUAGUAUUUUUAAAAAUUCAUUGUACCUUUAUUUUUAAUGCAAUCACUUGUUGUAGUUGGCCAAAAAUUAUAGUUCAAAAUUUCAUUGAGUUGUUCCUUCAAAUCUUCAAGAACAUAAAAACCUUUUUAUUGAGACUCAGGAAACUUUAAAAAGUGCAGAAAACUUAAAAUUGAAAUUUUUUUGAAAGCAAUUGAAAUUUUUGUUGGUAGGGCAAGGAAAGUAGAAACCAACAUGAUAAUUACCGUAACGUGUACUGAGAUAACCAUAAAAUAAUUAUUUGGGCACUAUUACUUGAUAAUGCGAUGGAAACACAAAACCUGUCAUGUCUUCUAGGAAAAUGAAAACGGUACUAUAGUGAUAAAUGUUGAUGUUCAAAAUAUCGUAGAAAAAUAUAAUUAUUGUACUACGGUUAGAAUGAAUGAUGCUAUAAUGUGUCAUUAUUUACUUCUCAGAGACUAAUUUCAUAUUUUCAAUUCUUUCAAUAUAUUUCAGUAAAUUUUCUUACUCUUUCAAAUCUAUGUAAUAACAAAGAAGUACCUGCCUGCAUGUAAAUCUGUAAAUAUGUUUGAUAAUAUAAGUAAUGCUUCUUCCUCCAAUGACAUGAUAAAAUUCCAUUUAAAAAAAAUAAGUGUCAUAAUAUUUUGCCAGGAGCUGAUCCUGAAGAUAAGCUUCUACUGUUAUUUUUAAUAAUGUUGUUCAGAAUGAUAGAUUUAUAAACUUCAAAUGAGUGGGAAAUCGAUCAAGUUUUAAAAAAGCAUUCUGAGCUGAAAAGAUUACGAUCAAAAGCAUUUCGUUUUAGUCAAAUUAUGAUUAUUUUCUAUUAGAAAAUUAUUAUUCAUAUUUAUGAGAAUGUUGAGCAUGUUGCUGCUCAGAAUGAUUACAAUGAAAGCAAUGAGACUGAUGUUGAUGAUGAAGAUUAUAAUGAAAGAUUUAUGUGUAUAUUCAUUCAUUUUCAUAGAUUAGUUUAAUGAUUUAAAUAAUGUUGAUGAUAAUAAAACUUCUGUGAUAUAUAAACU